CGGGGGUCCACUAACUCACACCUACUUCAAGUGUCUUCACUCAGAGCUGAGGAUGGCUCAAACCACCAAAACACCUUGAUGAGGAGGAAGAGUUCCCAAAAGGAGACAAAGAAUGGUGGCUGCGGCUCAAGGCUCUCCCACUCUAUCUUCUACUGGUCUUCCUCUGAAUUUAUGGAACACAUCUCUACCUCAAGCCCAGGAGGUCCCAUCUUCUUUCCUCUGCAGACUCACCUGACUCACCCUCCAAUUACUUUUACCACUGGAACAACCACAAGCUGCGCUUCAGGAGCAGGACUUAGCAACUCCCCAGCAGAGCGGCCCAGGGCCCCUAUGCGGACAGUUUUCUGCCGAUCUUUACCCCUGCCCGGCGUGAAGGCCGUUUUCUGGUCUCUUGCCUCCUCUUCGUGCCCACGCCUCUCCCAGGACUCUUGCGGCUCCCAACCCGGCGUUUCCAUCCCGAGUGCUCCCACCCAGGCCUCGCUUCCAGCUGCCUCACAACGAUCCUCUGAAACUCACAGAGCGAGCAUCCAUUCCCUGCGAAACUGCUCCCGUUCGGCGCCUCGGUUCUGCUGGAGACGUGGGCUGCGCUACUCCCUGCCCUGGCAGCCCAGUGGGCAUGAUUCACUCCUGUUUGCUUAAUUAGUUAAAUCAAAUUAAAACGUGUUUGGGGC
Molecule: long non-coding RNA, 671 nt
Filed under: Fukomys damarensis (Damara mole-rat)
Lineage: Eukaryota; Metazoa; Chordata; Mammalia; Rodentia; Bathyergidae
Description: lncRNA (ENSFDAG00000022585.1)
Source: RNAcentral